GCAUAAAAGGAGUACACAGGUAAAUCGCUUUAUGACCUCACAAUCUAGCAUACAAGUAAAAUUAGCUUUAUAAAUUUAUAUACACAUAGUGAGUUACACUGCCAUUAUAUAUAUUUACAAGCUUUCUGUCAACAUAAAAGGUAUUGAGCCUAAUGAAUACAAAAUAGAAUUACAGUUCAUAUUUUUGGUGACCAUGGUGUUACCCUUACAGGCCAUGAGGCAAUCAUGAUCAUUGCAGCAACAAGAGUUCGAAUAGAUUAUGUGCUGUCAGAUAUAACCGGUGCAGCGGGAAAAAUGUGUCGUUGUCGGUGAUGUCACACAUGAUGCUAUCGACGCUGACAGCAUAACAUUCCAUCUCAAAUUCUGAAUUAUCGACACUAUUGAUCCAGUAAUACCAUCCAGCAGUAUAUCCAAACUUCCAACAAACAGUGAGAAGUCAACACAGCUUGCUUUGAUUCGGCCUAAUAGAUUCAUCAGCAGGCAACAAAAUCUCAGAGAAAACACCUGCCAAAGACAUCAUAGACUCAACCGAUUCAGCUCUAGGAGAGAACAUAGGCUCCACAGCAGAAGGCAGAACGAGGAAAAACCAAGAAUCAGCCGCUACAUAGGGGAAAAAG
Molecule: long non-coding RNA, 617 nt
Organism: Lolium rigidum
Lineage: Eukaryota; Viridiplantae; Streptophyta; Magnoliopsida; Poales; Poaceae
Exons: 2
Source: RefSeq, a predicted model, not a curated record